Molecule: non-coding RNA, 255 nt
Organism: Pogona vitticeps (central bearded dragon)
Lineage: Eukaryota; Metazoa; Chordata; Lepidosauria; Squamata; Agamidae
Source: RefSeq, a predicted model, not a curated record
GAAGAUGGGGUGAUGUAGACUGCCGAAUCUGGCCUUGCCUCUGGAUUCCUCUCCUGAUUCCAGCGGUUCAGAAUGGACAACUACUUCUAUGGAUCCAAUGGGACCGGCAACCAUCGAUGCCUCAGGCCACUAUUCUGUUUAUUAUUAGCAGCCCUACGGAACUAAAAAGAAAAGAAAAGUCAAUUCAGCCCACCCCCUGGGAAUCCAAUGGUGGAGUCAACGAAGAUCUUUCUUUUGCUUUCUUUCAUGAUCUUC